This 1768-nucleotide long non-coding RNA is filed under the name Glycine max (soybean). RNAcentral describes it as "long non-coding RNA (GMAX_LNC000374)". The record is from RNAcentral. Lineage: Eukaryota; Viridiplantae; Streptophyta; Magnoliopsida; Fabales; Fabaceae.
GCGAUCAUUACAAAAAAAAAAAGGGCAUUAUCGACUGAAAUUACAAAAAGUAUAUAUAAACAUAAAAAUAAAACUAUUUAGGCAUUUUCUCCAUCGUCACCACUCCUGGCCUGCACUUUACCAUCUUCAUCAUUGUCACCUUUCUCCUCUCGAGCCCCUUAGUCAUUUGGAUCUUGCUAGGAGGGGUCGCCAACAAUUCAGCACAGGGUGCCCCAUCCUCAAGAAUGUCAUCAAUAGGAAUCAACUCCCCAUUAUAAACAUCCUUGUCCAUAUCAAAGAUGGACUCAUCUGGUACCUCGUAGUGAAAAAUCACUUGGUGAAGGCAGUGGUUGAAACCGGACAAAUGCACUUUGAACACAUCGUCAUAUGCCUUCUACUUGAUUCUAGCCUUUCUACAUCCCUUUCUUUCUUGGCCUCUACAAGUAGAGUCUUCAGCCUCUACACUUCCUCUGUGCUUGACUUGGCAGAGUCCUCAGCCUUGGUGGCUCAAUUCUCCCAAGUUUUCAAAUCCAAAUUGUCCUCAACCAAAUUAACAUUGGUAGUAAACACAACAACAAAGGAGUCCUUGACUUUCUUCAGCUUCCCCUUUAGCUUCUUAACCCUUGAAGAACUUUGAAGGUGUUGAGCGAUGGCCACCACUCAUGCAUGAAAACCCAAAAAUUGGUCCAGUUGGCGGCAUCAUCGCUCCUAUUCAGCACAUGGCAGCCUUGCUUUGAUAUGUGGGUCGGUUCAACCAUGUGGAUCGACACAAAGUCAUUGGUGAAGAAGUCAAUGUUGGUCAAAAUCAAGAUGUUGCUGAGGGGAUGAGCGCUCGAGAAUUCAAGUGCUUGUUGUUUCAUUUUCUUUGAGCCCUCGUGGCCGGAAGGCUGAACCGAACCUUGCCUUUGGUCAUAGUGCUUCCCCUGGUCUUUUUGCUUGGCUUCCCUAGUAAGAAGGGAAAUGGCAUAAGCUGGAAGGUCAUUCAGGGGAGGGUUUCAGAUCAGUGAAUGCGUAGGGAUUGUCAAACUAACUGUCACAAAUGCUCAAUUCUUGCGAGCGAGGAAGAAGGAAGGCAUAUUAACCCCGACUUGUACCAUAAUUCUUGAAAAAUACAAACCAGUUAGAGCUGAAUAUAGACAAAUAACACCAAAAAAAGAAGAAAAAAUCUACCUUCAAGAUUCCUAAUCGGAUUAGGGGACUUAAACAAAUUCAUGAUAGCCUUCGAAGGAAGGCGUCGAGGGAGCGACUCGAGGAAAGCCAAGUUGCCUAGUUCCUCUCCAGACAAGUAAUCCAAAGGGAACUCAUUGUACUGGCAGGGCACCUGCUACCAGUAAAAGGGGAACAAAGGCUUCCCUACCGAGUCGUAGAAAAGUCAGCCCUAGCUUUCGGCUUUAUUACAACCUUGAAAAACCCCGUCUUAAAAUUCUUGUAAGAAGAGAUGAAUGUACAAAAUAGUGGUUGAGAAGGUAUCCAGAUUAGUGAAACCCACCGAGACUUCUCUUGUAGCUGGUAACAAAAAUAGUGGAGGAAUAUGCCAGGGUGUCCCUCACAUGUGUAAUAGGCAUAAGGCCUAGAACGCUUAGAUGACAGCCUAACCAUUCGGAUGAAGCUGGGUAGGGGCCACGUUCAAAAUCCGAAGCACUUUCAUUGGAAAAUCAUCAAAGGGGAUGCUUACAUGAAGAUCCCAGAUUAUACAAUCACACAUAAAGAAGAAACCUCUUUGAUCCUCCUUCCUCUUAUUUAAGAAUACAAAAUCGGGAGAAUGGGGGAUUUGCGUUUGUCGAACACA